AAAGUCGUAACAAGGUUUCCGUAGGUGAACCUGCGGAAGGAUCAUCAUUGAACCUCUAAAUAUCAUAAACACGCUUUGUGCAUUUUGUUACCCCGCUUUUGGGAAAAAGGGGGGAGGGAAAGGGUUUUUCUCUCCACCCCCUCCCUUUCUACCACAAGCAUUUUUUUUAUACUUAAACUCGCUUUUUUAUCCCACUUUUUCUUAAACAUAAAAAAAUCUUUAAAAAGAAGACAACUUUUAACAACGGAUCUCUUGGCUCUC
Molecule: unclassified non-coding RNA, 261 nt
Filed under: Glomeromycotina sp.
Lineage: Eukaryota; Fungi; Glomeromycota
Description: partial contains small subunit ribosomal RNA, internal transcribed spacer 1, and 5.8S ribosomal RNA
Rfam family: Eukaryotic small subunit ribosomal RNA (bases 1-47)
Source: RNAcentral